Heterocephalus glaber (naked mole-rat) is the source of this 4327-nucleotide non-coding RNA. The record is from RefSeq and is a predicted model, not a curated record. NCBI's taxonomy places the organism in Eukaryota, Metazoa, Chordata, Mammalia, Rodentia, Bathyergidae.
CCGGCUUGCCGAGGGACACGUGGACCUGAGUGGGGCGGGGCCGAGCGCUUCCUCAUUGCUCAGGAAGUGUUCGGGUAGGCCGAGCUAGGUUGGCGUGUCUGUCCAGGCCGGGUCCACCAUGUCGAAGGUUUCCUUUAAGAUCACGCUGACGUCGGACCCGCGGCUGCCUUACAAAGUACUCAGUGUUCCUGAAAGUACACCUUUCACAGCAGUCUUAAAGUUUGCAGCUGAAGAAUUUAAAGUUCCUGCAGCAACAAGUGCAAUUAUUACCAAUGAUGGAAUAGGAAUAAAUCCUGCACAGACUGCUGUGGAAAGCCUGGAAGUUCCAAGCUAUGAGGCCUUGAAAAACUUAUAUAUGAGAGAAAAAUAAACCCACAAUGAACAGCUACAGUGCUGCCAGACUGUUUUCCAAAGUGGCUACAAUAUUCUGCAUCCACAUUAGCAAUAUGUCAGAGUUUCAACUUAUUGUCAACACUUGUUAUUGGACAUCUUUUUGUUUAUAACCAAUCUCUUAGGAUGGAUUGGGGACAAGAAUGGCAAUGAAGUCUCAAGGAAAGCAGGGAGGAUGUUGUCAGACUACAGAUGUACUAGAUUCUUUGAUACUCUGGAUGGCAUCUAACUACAAGUAGAAGCAACAUACAAACUAUGCAGCUCCUACCUGAUUCUCUCAGUAUGCUCACUCUCCAGAUUCUCCUAGGAAGUACUUCUCAGAACCCCAGGAUCACACAGUAAGAAGCCCAAACUCAUCUAAAAAUUAAUGUGGAACGAACUCAGGACCUUGCACUUGCAAGGCAGGCAGUGGAACCACUGAGCUAAAUCCCCCACCUAUGUCAAAUUUUUAAAGCACAAUCAGAGAGAAAUUUCCAGACUUCAAUACUGGAGGAAAAAAAUUUUAUUCAUCGUUUCAAUUAUUUCAAGCUAGCCAAACUGAAAAUCAACCUGACACAUCACCAGUCCUGAGUCGCCACCGUUGAUAGCACACCAGCGCCCUCUAUUGCACACAUAGGAUAAUGAAUGUGUUCUACAAUGCCACGUUUUGUCUUUAAAUUCUGCUGUUUAUCGUGAAGAAUAUGGUAUUCUUUUGGAGAUUACUUUAUAGAAUAAGCUGAAAUCACACGGUAUUUGUGGAGUAAAUAAAAUGUGUGUAUAAGUGAAAAUAGAUGUAAAAAUUAUGGCCAUUUUAUAUCUACAUACUAUUUGAUCUAAUCACCUGUAAGGUAAUAGGAUGAGGAAAUUUUGGAAAGGAGAAGCGCUUUCAAAUCGUGUCUGAUCUUGCUAAACAGACACGCUGAAAGUAAGAAAUUAUCCACUCUAUCAACACGUUUUGAGCACCCCUAUCUGUAAGACAAGCUGACCGUGUGGAUACAAAGAUAGCUCAGGGAUAGGUUUGUGCUAGAGCUCUGAACUAUGGUUAUGAGGAAAUGUUUAUGAAGUAUUUCUAGUACUGAGUAAGCAAAAUAAAGACGCAGCUUAAUUUUUAAAUAUCCAGUGCUGUAAUUCCAGGUAUUGUGUGAAAUUUAAUAUUUUUUGUAAGUAAGAGAAGGGAACCAUGAUUCAAACCAAAGUCUCUAGAGCGCAGUGUUUACAACCAUAUGUAUGUUUUCUUUGGUAUCUUAAAUGUUUUUGGGCCCCCUUACCUAUCUAUAAAUUAUGUGUCACUUGAUAAUAAAACUACUACUCUUAGUGCUUGUGAUAUGCCUUAGGUAUCCCUAAAUUUCGAAGGGCUUAGAAUAGGUUAUAUAAUUUAAUCUCCACAACAACUUUUUCAGGCACUGAUUUUUUCCCUUAUUUUACUGAUGAAGAGAAAGAGGUCCAAGGAACUUAAACACUCAAACAUCACAGACACUGGUAUAAGUGAGAGUCAGGGUUCCAUCUCAGGAUAUCUAAUACUAGAAUUCUUCCUCAGCGCAGGCUUGCUCGCUCCCUCUCACACACACACACACACACACACACACACACACAUCACAGGACACUCUCAUGGAAAAUGUAUUUCAUUACAGUGCUGGGAGGAUAUAAAAUACUUCUGAGUAGCUUUUAGACUUUUAGAAUACCAGAUAGACUCGAUACAUAGAAAGAGGAUUAUCUAUGGAUAAAGUCUUGUUUUAAUGACCCAAACUGAUUAGUUUGUAACUUACAGCCAGUGAAAUGAUUCUCUGAUAAUGUAAUUUUCACUACAGCAACACAUAUGUUGUUGCUUAUGAUAGUUCCAAUGUCUCUUCUCUCAGUAUUAACCAUGAAGCCCCACAUUUUAUAGAUGUUUUCUUACCCCUAGGCAUAUACAUCUCUAACAUAAACUAAACAGUUGAUAUUCUUUUAAAAAGGGAAGAUCAUUUGAAUAAUUGUUGUAAUAAGUCAGAAACUAAUUCAGCAUCAGUACAGAGGGACAUACUCUGGCUUAUCAAUAUUCUUACAAACAAAUUCUGUAUUAUUCACGUGCUCAUUCAUUUAGGUCUUAUAUUCCUUUAACUUAUUAAUUCUUCUUCAGUUCUCCCUGCAGUUUCAUACACAUGUUGGAUUUUAUUUUAGGAAUCAGUAACAUAUAAUAAUACUAAUUUUGAAACACAAACAUUAAUGACACAGAGUCAAAAUAAUAAUUAUCAGAAAAUCAUCAAAGAGAUGCUGAAUUUAAUGACAAAUAUGUCAGUUUUAAUAAAACCAAGUUGCUUCCCAAGCAAUUGUCUCUCCUACUUCAUUAAAAGCCAAAAGCUUGGGACCUAAGGCCAAUUAAAAAUUCAUGUAUGCAUAUAUUUGUAACAUGGUUUAUAUAAGGAAUCUCAAUAACAAUUUGAUUGUUACGUCAGUAUUACACUAUUUUAAUUAGGCAGCUAAAAAGGUACAAAUAGGAGGAAAAUAUAAUAAUAUCAAAGCAUAUUUGUCAUUAUCUUCAAAGAUUAAGAUUAAUCAAGUAGCAAUAAUUUUUAUAAUGUCAUUUGUCUGAAAUCAUUAAUAGAUAUUCUAAACAUGAAUUGUCAUAGUGAUGGAAAAAGAAAUAUUUCUGGACUUAAAUAUAAAUGCAAUUAUAAUUUUUAUCCUUAGUUUCUUUUUUUUUGUUCUUUUUGGUACCAGGGAUAGAACUCGGGACCUUGCACUUGCAAGGCAGGUGCCAGAACCACUGAGCUAAAUCCCUGGGGCUUUAUUCUUAGUUUCAAUUCUGAAAAAGGGAAAAAUGUAUGUAAGCUAUGAUGAUGUAUUAUCUUACUCAUGUUUUAAAUCACACCUACAUGUUCAAUCUAAAUCAGCCUAAUCAAAAUCGUUUGUUACUAUUCACUGUGCAGAUCAAGAGUUGUUAGUGCUGCACUAAUCAAUAAAUUUUAUGCAAAGAUUUUGAAACUGGAAGUAUGCUAAGCCUCAUCCACCUUUAGAGAAAACUUCUGGAGGCUCUAUGGUGUCACAGCAUUCCACAGAAAUGUCACAGCUGAAUUAAUUAGUCAGUUACAUGGUUUGACUUCAGCAUUCAAAAUAAAGGACUGGUAUGAUUCUAUUUAUGUCAUACUUUAAAAAAAGAAAAUUAGGCAGCCUUUUCUGACAUUAUUUGGGAAAAAUAAUAUGUUGCAGAAAAUGCAGUUGACUGAUUAAUACCGAGUUAGGGAAGAAAUUGAGUCUGGGAUAUAGAGAGAGGAAUGAGGAAGCAUUAGGGAGAAGCAUGUAAAGGACACUGACACUGACACUGUUUUCUCAAUUGUUACUUUUAGUUUGGGUCAUAGGAGCUUUUAUUUCAUCAUAAUUCUUUAAAUGGUACUCGAUAUCUUACCGAGUGUAAUGUUGAAGAAGUCUUGCUCCUGCUUCCAUACCCAUCUUAAUCAUUAUGUCCCUCUCAUUCUCACCAAGGUCAGUGGAUCUGUCCUCUGAGCUCCUCCAGCCUUUGUCAGGACCUGCUGCAGCUCCCAUCUUAUCUCAUGAUUAUUUUCUAUUCCCCUCAAAUUACUAGACUCUGAGCUCUUUGACGGAGGAGAUCUUUCUCAUUUUGUUUUCUCCAGUGCCCAGCACACUGUGCCUGAUGCAGAGUAGAUGCUCAAGGAAUCAGUGUAAGGCAGGAUAAGCUCAAGUUACCAAAAAUCUGAGAUAUAUACCAGUAACUUUAAUGCAAGGGAUACACAGUGAGAAUAAAGUGUUAAAAUAAAAUAUUACAGAAACUCCAAAGAAAGAGAAAUAAAUGUUACUCCAUUAGCACACAAUGAUAUACCAAGAUUUUUCCUGUGUUGAGACACUUUCAUAAAGGACCAAGGACCAAGGGACCAAGAAGAGUAUGAGAGGCAAUUCUUGCCUUGCUUGAUAGUAUUCAAUGAAGACAUGAAAUUGAAAGGCUUAUGGAAAUCUAGAGAUGGGG